GGCGUGGUCGCCAAGUGGUAAGGCAAAGGUCUGCAAAACCUUUAUUCAUGGGUCCGAAUCCCAUCCACGCCUCCA
RNAcentral lists this transfer RNA (75 nucleotides) under Victivallales bacterium. Its description in RNAcentral is "tRNA-Cys". It matches the Rfam family "tRNA". Rfam says of the family: Transfer RNA (tRNA) molecules are approximately 80 nucleotides in length. Their secondary structure includes four short double-helical elements and three loops (D, anti-codon, and T loops). The record is from RNAcentral. Lineage: Bacteria; Pseudomonadati; Lentisphaerota; Lentisphaeria; Victivallales.